This 527-nucleotide ribosomal RNA is filed under the name uncultured bacterium. RNAcentral's name for it is "bacterial SSU rRNA". It matches the Rfam family "Bacterial small subunit ribosomal RNA", at positions 8 to 524 of the family's 1533-position model. The record is from RNAcentral.
AGAGUUUGAUCCUGGCUCAGAGCGAACGUUAGCGGCGGGCCUAACACAUGCAAGUCGAACGAGAAAACCUUCGGGUGAGUACAGUGGCGCACGGGUGAGGAACGCGUAGGUAAUCUACCCUCCGGCGGGGGACAACACUCCGAAAGGAAUGCUAAUACCGCAUAAGACCACGCUUACUAAGGUGAGAGUGGUAAAAGACGCCUCAAAGCGCCACCAGAGGAUGAGCCUGCGUCCCAUCAGUUUGUUGGUAAGGUAACGGCUUACCAAGGCGAAGACGGGUAGCUGGUCUGAGAGGAUGAUCAGCCACACUGGUACUGGAACACGGACCAGACUCCUACGGGAGGCAGCAGUGAGGAAUAUUGGGCAAUGGGCGAAAGCCUGACCCAGCCACGCCGCGUGUGUGAUGAAGGCCUUCGGGUCGUAAAGCACUGUGGGGAGAGACGAAACUGCGCAGGAGGAAAUGCCUGCGUGCUGACGGUACCUCCUUACCUAGCACCGGCUAACUCUGUGCCUGCGCCCGCGGUAAU